CCCCACUCCAUUCUACCCCAACUGCUGCUUCUUCGUCCUUCUCAAUCCUUCCACCAUCAUCUCCAUCCAACAGAAAGCUCUGGUGACCAUGGGGAGAUCACAGAAGCAUGGUGGGAUUCCUGCACCUCAGAGGUGGACUACCCAGGUUGGAACCAGCUGAUGUGCAACUCAGGAUGAGCCUGCCCUUCUGGCCUUGGCCUGCGGGCACUGACCUUCCAAGCCCGAGCCCAUACCCACUGUGUUGCUUCUCACUGCUCAGCAGGAUCGCUUAGUAGAAACAUCACACAAUGUGCUUCUUGGUUUCCUGGUUUGUAAUAUUUGGAUUCUUUUCAUUUGUUGGAUUUUAAAGAAAGCUUUUAUGAAUAUUUUUGUACAAAUGACUCAUAGAUAUAUUCUCUUCCUUCUCUUAGAGUGUAUUACUGAAGCUCCAGGGUGCACAGAGGAAAUCUAUGGUUUUCACAGUAGAAAUGUUUUACUCUGAGAUCUUAAAUAUGUGAAUUCUGACUGCACCAAAUACUGCACACUUAGGCUACCCAGUCUUUAACUAUGGCCAUUGUAGUGGGGAUGAAUAUGAAGUAAGUUAUUUUUUUUAAAGUCUCUCUGAUGACUAAACAUGUCCAGUUUUCCUAAAGUG
RNAcentral lists this long non-coding RNA (634 nucleotides) under Mus spicilegus (steppe mouse). RNAcentral describes it as "lncRNA (ENSMSIG00000020462.1)". The record is from RNAcentral. Lineage: Eukaryota; Metazoa; Chordata; Mammalia; Rodentia; Muridae.